Molecule: transfer RNA, 69 nt
Filed under: Filchnerella sunanensis
Lineage: Eukaryota; Metazoa; Arthropoda; Insecta; Orthoptera; Pamphagidae
Description: tRNA-Glu
Rfam family: tRNA
About the family: Transfer RNA (tRNA) molecules are approximately 80 nucleotides in length. Their secondary structure includes four short double-helical elements and three loops (D, anti-codon, and T loops).
Source: RNAcentral
AUUUAUAUAGUUUAAAAAAAACAUUACAUUUUCACUGUAAAAAUAAUAACUCAAUUUUAUUUAUAGAUA